CGGUGGGAAGGCGAAGCUCGUUCGUAAUACAUUAGCAACUCAAUUUCGAUAAUUCGGAUUGACUCGGCGUAAUAGACUAUUCGCUGAGGACACCAAGCAAUUGGUGGCCGAAUUUUGAGGUAGAAGCUUCUAACUCAAUUUGUAGUCAAAUUCUUUUAAGAUUAGACCUCAAAUCAGGCAGGAUUACCCGCUGAACUUAA
RNAcentral lists this unclassified non-coding RNA (200 nucleotides) under soil metagenome. Its description in RNAcentral is "partial contains internal transcribed spacer 2 and large subunit ribosomal RNA". The record is from RNAcentral.